Molecule: transfer RNA, 70 nt
Filed under: Ephemerella sp. Yunnan-2018
Lineage: Eukaryota; Metazoa; Arthropoda; Insecta; Ephemeroptera; Ephemerellidae
Description: tRNA-Val
Source: RNAcentral
CGGAACAUAGCUAAAUAGGCAGCACCCCACUUACACUGGGUUUAGAACCGUGCAAUUCGGUUUGUUUUGA